Molecule: unclassified non-coding RNA, 667 nt
Filed under: Hevea brasiliensis (rubber tree)
Lineage: Eukaryota; Viridiplantae; Streptophyta; Magnoliopsida; Malpighiales; Euphorbiaceae
Source: RNAcentral
UUUCUGUGAUCCUCAUAGGCGAGGUUUGUGCUAGUUUUCAUUUAGAAAGCAGUACUUCUGUAUAGUAUUAUUUCAGUCAUCAAAUGCUGAACGAGUUAUUAAAUGUUGAUCUCUCUUUCUUCUUCUUCUUCCUCCUUUUUUGUUGUGUUUUUUCUUCCAAUGUUCAAAUCUUAGCAGUAAUUACUUAUGUUCUAUGGUGUUGUUAUAUCGGAAGCUGUGGAUUCUCUUAGAUGUUUCUAUACUAUGUGAACUAUGAAUGCCAGAUUGGGUUUUCAAAUUUUGGAAUUGUUCUUUUGUGGGUGCAAGGGAAUCUAUGUUUGAUGAACAAUCAAGUAUUCAUGCAUCAGGUCCCAUUAUAUGAACAUGUUACUGGUUGGUGAUGGCUAGGAGUGCUAUUAGACUAAUAGAUUUGUGAAAGUAAGUUGAUUGUUCUGGUUGAAUAUACGCAAAUGCAUAUAAAUGUCUUGAUUGUGCAUGAAUUUCUAGGCUUUGAAAGGGAUUGGGCACAUAUAGCAACCUACCUUUGGAGAAAGGAAAUGCUAGUUUGAUGCCCGGAGGAGAAAGGAAAAGAAUUUAAUGUUCUGAUUUGUUCACUUUUAUCUUUACUUUUUUGGUUUUUAACUUUGCAUUUAUAUAGUUUGAUGAUGACCUUUUGGGCAUCUUUUAU